CCUACGGGUGGCAGCAGUCGAGAAUCUUUCACAAUGGGGGAAACCCUGAUGGUGCGACGCCGCGUGGGGGAAUGAAGGCCUUCGGAUUGUAAACCCCUGUCAUGUGGGAGCAAAUUAAAAAGCUAGUCCCACAAGAGGAAGAGACGGCUAACCCUGUGCCAGGAGCCGCGGUAAUACAGAGGUCUCAAGCGUUGUUCGGAAUCACUGGGCGUAAGGCGUGCGGAGGCUGUUUCGUAGAUCGUGUGUGAAAGGCGCGGGCUCAACCCGCGGACGGCACUUGACACUGCGAGACUAGAGUGAGGGAGGGGGAACCGGAAUGCUCGGUGUAGCGGUGAAAUGCGUAGAUAUCGAGAAGAACACUCGUGGCGAAGGCGGGUGCCUGGACAUUAACUGACGCUGAGGCACGAAGGCGAGGGGAGCGAAAGGGAUUAGAUACCCGGGUAGUC
RNAcentral lists this ribosomal RNA (446 nucleotides) under uncultured bacterium. RNAcentral's name for it is "partial 16S ribosomal RNA". It matches the Rfam family "Bacterial small subunit ribosomal RNA", at positions 338 to 795 of the family's 1533-position model. The record is from RNAcentral.